RNAcentral lists this transfer RNA (72 nucleotides) under Camelus bactrianus (Bactrian camel). It matches the Rfam family "tRNA". From Rfam's summary of the family: Transfer RNA (tRNA) molecules are approximately 80 nucleotides in length. Their secondary structure includes four short double-helical elements and three loops (D, anti-codon, and T loops). The record is from Rfam by way of RNAcentral. RNAcentral also lists the same sequence under 1 other name. Lineage: Eukaryota; Metazoa; Chordata; Mammalia; Artiodactyla; Camelidae.
GAGAGUAUAGCUCAGUGGUAGAGUGCGUGCUUAGCAUGCACAAGGUCCUGGGUUGAGUUCCCAGUACCGCCA